Molecule: long non-coding RNA, 315 nt
Organism: Lepisosteus oculatus (spotted gar)
Lineage: Eukaryota; Metazoa; Chordata; Actinopteri; Semionotiformes; Lepisosteidae
Source: RefSeq, a predicted model, not a curated record
AUUUAAAGAGACCUAUGAAACCCACUGGACUGCAGCCUGCAGGAAUGGAGGUGGCCAUGUCUGGCUUAAAGGACUGAGAAGGCCAAAUAAAAGCAAAAAAGAGGAGCAGUAUACCUGAGUGGAAGGCAUCGGCGAAGGUUCAGCUGCUGUAAUUGGUUACACGGUUGUUGGCAAAGGAGAAAACAAUCAUCAGUUGUUAAAGGAAUUUUAAAUGUUCAACAUAGCCGUCCUGAAAAGGCCUUUCGUUGUAAUCUGCAUCUACGCUGCUUAUUUCAAAAGUGAAAUUUUACUUAUGUUUUAAUUUCGUAUUCCUUU